RNAcentral lists this transfer RNA (77 nucleotides) under Nocardioides zeae. Its description in RNAcentral is "tRNA-Val". It matches the Rfam family "tRNA". From Rfam's summary of the family: Transfer RNA (tRNA) molecules are approximately 80 nucleotides in length. Their secondary structure includes four short double-helical elements and three loops (D, anti-codon, and T loops). Further hydrogen bonds mediate the characteristic L-shaped molecular structure. tRNAs have two regions of fundamental functional importance: the anti-codon, which is responsible for specific mRNA codon recognition, and the 3' end, to which the tRNAs corresponding amino acid is attached (by aminoacyl-tRNA synthetases). tRNAs cope with the degeneracy of the genetic code in two manners: having more than one tRNA (with a specific anti-codon) for a particular amino acid; and 'wobble' base-pairing, i.e. permitting non-standard base-pairing at the 3rd anti-codon position. The record is from RNAcentral. Lineage: Bacteria; Bacillati; Actinomycetota; Actinomycetes; Propionibacteriales; Nocardioidaceae.
GGGCGAAUAGCUCAGCUGGUCAGAGCGUCCGGUUUACACCCGGAAGGUCGGGGGUUCGAGCCCCUCUUCGCCCACCA